Long non-coding RNA from Triticum dicoccoides, 769 nucleotides. RefSeq lists it as uncharacterized. The transcript has 2 exons. NCBI's taxonomy places the organism in Eukaryota, Viridiplantae, Streptophyta, Magnoliopsida, Poales, Poaceae. The record is from RefSeq and is a predicted model, not a curated record.
CCGCAACGGCCGCACGUAAAUCUCUCCCCUAAUCCCUUGAGAUUCCAAUCAGGUGGCACCGCCCCGAGCUGUUCCACCAUACAGAGCGCACCCAACUUUGCAUCUCCGAGAUCCCAUGUCCUCUUCGUCCAGCAGCACAACAUACUCACCGGUCAGCUCCACGCCUUCGCCCCUGCACCUCCUUCUCUCCUCGUUGUUGAGCGGCAGGUUACAAAUCGGAUGGAUCGGCAGCCGGAGUAGCACGGGCCGGCUGACGAACCGACAGUGGGUUGCAAAAAUUCCCCCCUAGUCGAAGCGCCCAUCUCGAAAUCGAAGGGGAUUGACGCUGGAUGCAUCUACUUCAGAGAUGACGUGUCGAAUUCAUCACAAAGACCCACAUGGCUCAGACGUCCGGGCUAUCAGGGUAUACAACCUCAAGGAUGACACAAUGAAGAUCAAAGCGCUCGGGCAAAGGCACCUCAACUUGUACCCAUUGGCGCCGUGGACAACACCCUCCAUCACAUGAUGGCUAAUUAGUGAAAUUUGACACAUGAAAGCAAUUUUACUUCACCUUGAAACACUCUGCAUUUGACAACAACAUUUCUUUCUUUCUUUGCAAACAAAUCGUUCAUUUGAAUUAGAAGCAUGUGUAAUUAUGACUCCAUUUGACAGUAGCAUUUUCAUUCUUUCUUUGCAAACAAACCCUUCAUUUGAAUUAGAGCCAUGUGUAAUUAUGACUGGAAUUAUCUAUCUCUUUAGUGGAAGCAACAUAAUACUUGCUUGGAAGCAA